Molecule: long non-coding RNA, 1690 nt
Organism: Mobula hypostoma (lesser devil ray)
Lineage: Eukaryota; Metazoa; Chordata; Chondrichthyes; Myliobatiformes; Myliobatidae
Exons: 4
Source: RefSeq, a predicted model, not a curated record
CACUGUCACAGGGAGAAGAGAGACAGACAGACGAGGCCUCACGGCAGCGUAGCAGUUGGCACCACGCUAGUACAACUCGGGGCGAUUGGGCGUUCAAUCGCAGCGCCAUUCCAUUGUCAUCCCCGCGUUUACCCCAGUGUCCUCCCACAGUCCACAGAUGGGCAGAAUAGGCUAAUUGAUCAUUGUAAAUCGUCCGUGAUUAGAUUAGGGUUAAUCGGAGUUGUGCUGUUGCCGGGGCAGGGGGACGACGGAAACUCUGCAAAGUCCGCACAGAGAGCACUGGAGAUCGUGAUCGAUGUCGUCUCUCUGCAUCAAGGAGCCACCGAAUUUACCUGCUGCGCCACGAACAAAUACCACUGCAACAGAGGAAAAGAACCAAUGUCUCCUGGCUAAGUCAUUGCCCCCCACCUCCCCCCACCCGAGACUCGGAGGCGGCAGACGGCUGUGGCUGAGACCACACCGGUCCGCAACCCGCGAACAGACAGACACAGCCUCAGGGUGCAGGAGAGCUCUCGUCUCGGCUCUUACGCAAGCGCAGUCUGCGGGUGAGCCCGGCAAACCACAAAGCAGACCCAUCCCGCGGGGCAGAGCCAGGACCACGGCCCGUGAGUCACCGGGUGAAAUGGGUCCCGAUAAAAGAAGAGGAGUUGCUCGUACAGACAACAGUUGCAAGGUGCAGCCCUCUCCUUCUGUGACCCUCUGAGAAAGAUGAGUCUCUGUCUGAUCGUACUGGCUGCCUUGUGUCUGGGCCUGUCCCUACUCACAGCUCCUGUCUCAACCUACCAGCAACAAGGUCAUCAACAAACAGAGAUUCGCCCUACAUCCUCCGUAGAAGAGCUCAGGACCUGAUCACUCAGAUCAAAUAAUUCAUCUCCUCCUUCCUCAACAACCCAGAGUUCCUGCAAGACAUGAUGCUCCUGCACGACCAGCUCACCAGUUCCAUACGGAAAAUAUUACAUUAUUGACGAAUAUCCCAGGAUCGUCUCCGACGGAGGAACUAAAGGCCCGUCACUGAACUGCCGCUAAAUUUCAUAUCGUUAGUGCUUAAUCUACCUUGGAAGUGAAACACGUCAGAGCUCGAAAUUUGGCCCAUCGCUUCUCAAUUGGGCCGGCUGAUUGCCAAAUGUAUUGCUUUAUUUUUUAACGACCUCCUGCAUUUUACCCCUCCUUCAGUUCAUUUCCUCGGCCCCUCCGAGCAGGUUCCACCACCCAUGCGCCGUUCGGCAUCACUCCUUCCUCUCCCCUCGCCCCUCAAGUCCCCCUCCCCUUCCCUCCAACCUCCCACUCGCACUUUUCACCCGUUUCCCUAGCGGUGGUACCUCUGCGGCUCUGUCUCCAGGAAGCCCCCCGUCCCUUUAGGUAUUUCUGCAGUUCUCUCGCAAUCUCAUGCCGCUCCGUCGUCUCCCCUUUCCCUUCUUCAUCCCCGGAUCGCGCUCUCUCAACCACCCAGUCUGUAACAUUAUAGAUUGGACGAGGCCGCUCCGAUGUUAACUUCAAUCGGGCAUAUCGGGAAUUUCAGAUCUGUGUAGUCCGUACUCUUUUUCUUAGCCGGUGUGAACCAAAAAAUAAGUAAUAAAUCGUUUUUUUUUUCAAAACCUUCACUAACGAUGAACAGUUUGUCGUUCAUUUGCGGUGGGAUAAUCCAGGUAGAUGGAGCUCCCUCAAGCGGCUCUUUGAACGCGGGCGACUG